CCUACGGGUGGCAGCAGUGGGGAAUAUUGGACAAUGGGCGAAAGCCUGAUCCAGCCAUGCCGCGUGUGUGAAGAAGGCCUUCGGGUUGUAAAGCACUUUCAGUGGGGAAGAAAGCCUUGGGGCUAAUACCCUCGAGGAAGGACAUCACCCACAGAAGAAGCACCGGCUAACUCCGUGCCAGCAGCCGCGGUAAUACGGAGGGUGCGAGCGUUAAUCGGAAUUACUGGGCGUAAAGCGCGCGUAGGCGGUCUGAUAAGCCGGUUGUGAAAGCCCCGGGCUCAACUUGGGAACGGCAUCCGGAACUGUCAGGCUAGAGUGCAGGAGAGGAAGGUAGAAUUCCCGGUGUAGCGGUGAAAUGCGUAGAGAUCGGGAGGAAUACCAGUUGCGAAGGCGGCCUUCUGGACUGACACUGACGCUGAGGUGCGAAAGCGUGGGUAGCAAACAGGAUUAGAUACCCUAGUAGUC
This 465-nucleotide ribosomal RNA is filed under the name Vreelandella stevensii. RNAcentral describes it as "partial 16S ribosomal RNA". It matches the Rfam family "Bacterial small subunit ribosomal RNA", at positions 338 to 795 of the family's 1533-position model. Lineage: Bacteria; Pseudomonadati; Pseudomonadota; Gammaproteobacteria; Oceanospirillales; Halomonadaceae. The record is from RNAcentral.